UGUAUUUAAGUUUCGUAUAAUUGGGUCCAACCACAAAGUUCUUUAUAAAUUACAAACCCAAUUCUUUUAUCUUUGGUUUGAACAUACGUAUAAGAGACCGACCAAUAGUCGCAUGAAUACGAUCGCCCUAGAAAAAAAAUUCAUAAUUAAUAUUGAGUCAGACAAAUACUCAGUUGUACGGUGUUGUCACAGAGUAUAUUAAACAAUGAAGCAUCAAUGGGUAAAACAUAAUAUGUGAAUGCUUGACUUUCCAAAAUAACACAUACAACAUAUUUGAUGGUAAAUACUAAUCUAAAUUGCAGUUGAUUAAAUACAUGUUUAACCUAAUGAAUUUCAUAGUACAAAGAAGAAGAUGGGAUUGUAGUCAAUUUUUAUGAAAAAAUAAGUGCAACUAAAAAAGAAUGCACCUUUUCGUCUUGAAUAAUUAAUUCAAGGGAGACGGUGUUGUCUGGUUUGUCGCGGUUUGAAACGUGCCAUAAUCUCACUAUUCGUACCUUCAAAUUCCAACUCAUCUUGUUACUCAAUAUAUUGCAAAUAUAGCCAAAUGCCGUCAUAUUUCUUUUUAGAAAAAACUUUAUAAGAGGAUUGUCUGUCAAAUGCCGUCAUAUAUAUAUAUAUAUACAUACAUAUACGGAAUGCAAUAAUUUUUGUAUGGAAAAAUAAACCCUAAAUAGUAAGUAAGUACAAAAAAAUUCAGUUACUAUAUAUCUAUAGAUAUAUACGGAAUGCAGUAAUUUUUGUAUGGAAAAAUAAUUUUCCAUAAAAAGAUCCUAGAGGCAUAUGCAUUUGGGAUUCCCCAAUUAGGUGUUAUCCCAAAAUACCUGGCGUAGAUGUCGUCGUCUCCUAAACUACACAUCUCUCCAGAAUCCAGAUGCGAAAAAGAUGAGAAAAAAUGACCGAAAAAAUCAUCUUCACAUUUGAAUGUCUCCUCGCGUUGGACUAAUUUCACAUUUGACGACAUUUCACAUUUGGACUAAUUUCCCAUUUGAAUGUCUUCUCUUCUCCCUCUGUAUCCCAAUCCAACAAAAUUGUGGAACCGAUCAAAAUGCUUAGGUUUAAGCUUUUCCAGGUUCCCAAUAUUACGCG
RNAcentral lists this long non-coding RNA (1086 nucleotides) under Nicotiana tabacum (common tobacco). Its description in RNAcentral is "long non-coding RNA (NTAB_LNC014414)". The record is from RNAcentral. Lineage: Eukaryota; Viridiplantae; Streptophyta; Magnoliopsida; Solanales; Solanaceae.